RNAcentral lists this ribosomal RNA (774 nucleotides) under uncultured bacterium. RNAcentral describes it as "bacterial SSU rRNA". It matches the Rfam family "Bacterial small subunit ribosomal RNA", at positions 60 to 794 of the family's 1533-position model. The record is from RNAcentral.
AGUCGAGCGAGCUUGCCUAGAUGAUUUUAGUGCUUGCACUAAAUGAAACUUGAUACAAGCGAGCGGCGGACGGGUGAGUAACACGUGGGUAACCUGCCCAAGAGACUGGGAUAACACCUGGAAACAGAUGCUAAUACCGGAUAACAACACUAGACGCAUGUCUAGAGUUUGAAAGAUGGUUCUGCUAUCACUCUUGGAUGGACCUGCGGUGCAUUAGCUAGUUGGUAAGGUAACGGCUUACCAAGGCAAUGAUGCAUAGCCGAGUUGAGAGACUGAUCGGCCACAUUGGGACUGAGACACGGCCCAAACUCCUACGGGAGGCAGCAGUAGGGAAUCUUCCACAAUGGACGAAAGUCUGAUGGAGCAACGCCGCGUGAGUGAAGAAGGGUUUCGGCUCGUAAAGCUCUGUUGGUAGUGAAGAAAGAUAGAGGUAGUAACUGGCCUUUAUUUGACGGUAAUUACUUAGAAAGUCACGGCUAACUACGUGCCAGCAGCCGCGGUAAUACGUAGGUGGCAAGCGUUGUCCGGAUUUAUUGGGCGUAAAGCGAGUGCAGGCGGUUCAAUAAGUCUGAUGUGAAAGCCUUCGGCUCAACCGGAGAAUUGCAUCAGAAACUGUUGAACUUGAGUGCAGAAGAGGAGAGUGGAACUCCAUGUGUAGCGGUGGAAUGCGUAGAUAUAUGGAAGAACACCAGUGGCGAAGGCGGCUCUCUGGUCUGCAACUGACGCUGAGGCUCGAAAGCAUGGGUAGCGAACAGGAUUAGAUACCCUGGUAGU